Molecule: ribosomal RNA, 463 nt
Filed under: uncultured bacterium
Lineage: Bacteria
Description: partial 16S ribosomal RNA
Rfam family: Bacterial small subunit ribosomal RNA
Source: RNAcentral
CGAACGCUGGCGGCGUGCUUACCACAUGCAAGUCGACCGGAAAGGCCCCUUUGGGGGUCCUCGAGUGGCGAACGGGUGAGUAACACGUGAGUAACCUGCCCUUGACUUCGGGAUAACUUCAGGAAACUGGGGCUAAUACCGGAUAGGAAUCCUUGCUGCAUGGUGGGGGUUGGAAAGCUUCGGCGGUUUUGGAUGGACUCGCGGCUUAUCAGCUUGUUGGUGGGGUAGUGGCUUACCAAGGCUUUGACGGGUAGCCGGCCUGAGAGGGCGACCGGCCACAUUGGGACUGAGAUACGGCCCAGACUCCUACGGGAGGCAGCAGUGGGGAAUAUUGCACAAUGGGCGGAAGCCUGAUGCAGCAACGCCGCGUGCGGGAUGACGGCCUUCGGGUUGUAAACCGCUUUCAGCAGGGGCGAAGCUUGUGGUGACGGUACCUGCAGAAGAAGCACCGGCUAACUACGUG